This 419-nucleotide long non-coding RNA is filed under the name Nicotiana benthamiana. RNAcentral's name for it is "long non-coding RNA (NBEN_LNC006460)". Lineage: Eukaryota; Viridiplantae; Streptophyta; Magnoliopsida; Solanales; Solanaceae. The record is from RNAcentral.
AUGCACAGCCAAUUAAACAGCAGCAGCCUAAGGUGAUUUGCAAUGCAUCCUCAGUUGAGAACGAUUGGGGACAGUCUUCUGGACAGAAUUCAAUUCACAAGACAGUGAUGUCUCAACAAAACAAAAGUAAAACUGUUGCGACUAUCUCUAAUAGUCAUCCAGAUUUGGACUGCUCUAAUCAAAUACAGUCAAAACCUCAAAGUUCCUCAAUUAUAGCUACUCCUACUGUGCCAAAGAGGGCAAAGGCCGCUAAAGCGAAAUUGUGGAAAGACCAAAGAGACUACGAUGAUGAGGAAAGCUGGGGUGAAGGACUCGCUAGUUUUUCAUGGGAAGAAGAAGACCAAGAGGGUGAUCAACACAGUAAUAAAGGAGACAGUGAAGAUUCAGUCGAGCAAAUAUGUCAAAGGAAAAAUAAAAAU